UCCUUGGGGGUCCAAUGGUUAAGACUCAGUGCUUGCACUGCUGUGACCUGGGUUCAAUUCCUGGUCAGGGGC
This is a non-coding RNA of Bos taurus (domestic cattle), 72 nucleotides long. Lineage: Eukaryota; Metazoa; Chordata; Mammalia; Artiodactyla; Bovidae. The record is from Rfam.